Molecule: long non-coding RNA, 7160 nt
Filed under: Panax ginseng (ginseng)
Lineage: Eukaryota; Viridiplantae; Streptophyta; Magnoliopsida; Apiales; Araliaceae
Description: long non-coding RNA (PGIN_LNC018035)
Source: RNAcentral
CAAGAAUGCCCAUGAAAUUAUAUGGGAAAUUACCAAAAUACCCUUUUUGUCCAUUUUAGUGUAUUAUUAGUAGCAUUGUUGAUGGAAUCUUCAAUUAUGCUAGCUAAUCAAUGGCUUCUAGAAUUCCCUCAUGCUACUAUACCAUUACACCUCAAUUAUACCAACCCUAUUGAGCAUCCAAGGCACUUGACAUGGUCUAUAUAUAGAGAUUGAGGGAGAAAUAAUGCAAAUGCACACUAAUAUUUUCUAAAAUCCCUAGACACUCUCUCAAGCUCUAGCUAACGAAUUUGCCUUGCCCAUAAGCUCAUAAUCAAAGCCCAACCAUCACAAAAACCAAAUCAGAAGCAUCAAAGCCAAAAAAAAAUCAGAAAUCAAAGCUUGAAAAGGUAUAAAAUCCCAAAAAUUAGAAAUCCUUCGAUUCGAUGUUAAUUGAUGCAAUUGAUUGUUUAAAGUUGUGUAAUAGGGAGUCUAUUAAUGUUCUGGGUUGUAAAAACACAGACCCAUAACAUCAAAGUGCACGAAUUUGAAGAUUUAAGCAAGUUGGAAAAAAAAAUGGAUUCUGUGAUUUUUAAUCAAAUGUCAGGGCUUAUAACUCUUUUUUUUCGAUCAUGAUUUUUGUUGUUUAAAAUUUGAUAUGUGUAGCUUGUUAUGUGUUCUUGAAUCUGCAAAAAGAUUAAAGGACAGAUCAAUUCUAGAUCAAAAGAUAUAAGCGGUCAAAACCCCGUUGACCGAGUCUGCCAUUUCGCGAACCCAGAAUUUCUUAGAACAGUUAUCCGUGUUCAAGUUUGACUGCUCAGAUCUUGCUGAUUCUAUGCUUUUUUUAGUGUUAUGAUGAUUUUUAAUUGUAGUUCUACAUGUGUCUACACACUGCAGUUGAUAGAUCACACAAACAACGCACAGAUUUCAAGUUAUAAGGGUCCAAAGUAGGCACCUCGACUGUUCUUCAGUUGAAGAACAAAGUUGUCAGAAUUUUUGAAGGCUAAUAUCUUCGUGAUGUGUUGUUUCUUGGAUCUGAAAAUUGUUUGUUAGUGUAGUCUUACACUUCUACUACACGAUUGAUCUUUAAUCUAGUCCAGAAACACAAUAGGUUAAGAAUUAUUCACGGUCAAACAUGGUCCCUCGGUAACUGCCUUGUGUUUUCUGGGCUUGAGGAAGAACAGCUAUAGCGACAGUUAUGUCGCUAUAGGCCCCUUUGGCGACAGAGUUGAAUUAUUUUAAAAUUUUCAAUUUCUGGAAAUUCCGAAAAUGAUUUAAAAAUUAGAAAAAUUAGAUUUUAAAUUUGAAAAAUUAUUUUAAAGUCCAAAAAAUAAUAUUUAAUUAUUUUGAGUAUAUUUCAUAAAUAUUUAAUAUUUUUGGAAUAUAAAAGGUAUUUAUUUAUUUAUUUAAAAUAUUAAAUAAAUGAUUUAAAAAUAGUUUUAAUUCAUGAAAAAUCAUGAAAAAUUAUUUUAUGGUAUAAGAAAAUAUUUGAAGUUAUUUCCCAUGACUUUUAAUAUUUUGUGAUGAAUUUCAUUAAUUAAUUAUUAUUAAUGAUAUUAAAGUUAUUUAAUGAUUAUAUUAAAUAAUUUAGUUUAAAAAUGAUUUUAAUAUUAUAAAAAUCAUUUUAAAUGAAAAUAAGGUAUUUAAAAAUAUUUUAAGUUAUAAAAUAUAACUUUUAAUAUUUAAAUGAUAAUUUCAUUAAUAAUUAAAUAUUAAUGAUAUUAAGAUAAUAUUAAUGAUAUUUAGUUUAUUUAAUGAUUAAUAUUAAAUAAAUAGUUUAAAAAUGGUUUUACUUAUUUAAAAACCAUUUAAAGAGGAUAUUAAGGAUUUAAAAAUAUUUUAAGUUAUAAUUAAUGACUUUUAAUAUUUGGAUAAAUAGUACAUUAAUAUUUAAAUAUUAAUGGUAAUUAUUUGGGUAAUAUAAAUGUUUUAAAAAUAGUUUGAGUUAUUAUAAAUAACUUUUAUAUUUUGGCAAUGGUUUCAUUAAUAGUUUAGUAUUAAUUAAACUAUUAAUGAUAAUGGAAUUGUUUAAUGUUUAAAUCAUUUAAUUAUGAUUCCGAUAUUUGAAAGUUAUAGCCGGCCAAACUAGCUGACUUGAGAACCGAUUAUGAAGUUCUGAAUUUGAAGAAGAACACCUAUAGUAACAGUUAUAUCACUAUAGGCCCUUUAGUGACAGAUUUGAAUUAUUUUAAAUUUUUCAAUUUCUGGAAAUUGCGAAAAUGAUUAAAAAUAAGAUGUCUGAUAUUUACAGAUGUUGAGGUAUAGAAUAAGAGUCUUAGACUCAGUAUUUACCCGAUAAAGCUGUCGGUACGCCGACAAAUGUCAGACCUUAUAAAAGAAAGAAAAGACUACUGUAAGAGCAUGGAUGAGAUAUUUGAAAAAUGUAUAAAAAUAUUUCAAGUAUAGAAUAGGAACUAAAAGUAUGAUCACUGUGAUUAUGUGAUUAGACUAUGUGCUGACUGUAAUAGACAGUACUAUGUGUUAAGAUAUAUUGUUCUAAUCGAACGAAUGAUCUGAUUAUUGAUAGGUUGUGAUAAAGAGAUAAAACCUAAGUUGAGAUUUGUAAUCAGCGAAUCAGGCAAGUAUCCUACCUUUGCAUUUUCUUUAUGCAAUGGACAUGAGUAAGAAGUUUCAGAAUUAUUCUAUUCCUGUACAGAUUAUGUACGCUUUGAUUAUCAACAUGUUAGCUCAGAUAUAUAUUCUGUUAAGUUGAUUUCUAAAUGGUUAUACAAGUGUCCCCACUUGGAUAACCAUGGCAUUUAUUCACAUGUUGAUAUACCUCUGUCAAUUACCCGUAUACAUAUAUGUUGAAUUACAUAUUAUUGUUGAGCAAGAUUAAAAACCUUCGGGUUUGGAACCAGGCAUGUAUGAACAUCCCUAUAUGGGAAGAUUUUUGCGCCCAAGGCGGAUAGAGUGAGCGAUGAAUUUCGUUCAAGUUAUGUAGUAUUGAUCAAUACAGGGUACAACGGGGCUGAUCACCCUCCGUGCCCGUAAGCUAGAGCGGUUUGCGGAUGGAUUUCUGCCAAACCUUUUCGAAAAUGAAAACAAUGUUCAUAGUAUGAUUCUUAAACCCUAUUCAUGGGUAGAGCCAGAGCCAAAUUUAAAUAAUUUGGAAGAGAGUUGUUAUGUGAAUUUUUUAUCAGUACAGAUUACUUCACAACUUUCGAUUCGUUGUAGAAGUGUUAUGUAAAGAGAAUACUUAUAUUCUUUCAGCUUAUAUAUAUAAUUGCUAUUACUUGCUGGGCCCUCAAAUGCUCAUCCUUGCUUAAAUUAAAUGUUUUCAGUUAUGUAUGAGCAACCUGAAGGCUCAGGCACGAACAAAGGGAAAGGAAAGUUAUUCGAAUGAGUUUAUAUUAUGAGUUAAUGGUUAUAGUUUAGUAAGACAAUGGAAUCUAUUGUCAGGUAUUGUAAGGAAUGUAUUUUGAAGGUCUCGUACCUGGGGAAUUAAACUUUGAUGUAUGUAAAUUAAGUUCGAAUGUAAUAUUACUAUUGUAUGAUUCAGCUUAUAGAAAUGGUAUCGUGAAGCACCGAGUUCGGGUUUCAAGUACUCAGAUUUGGGGGCGCCACAGGUUGGUAUCAAAGCUGUAGGUUAUAAACGUUAGGAAUGAGAAACCUAGGUUAUAACCUUAGUAGAAUGGAGGACGAAAGUUAAUAUAGAUAUUCAGUAGACCAUGAGACGAAGUACUCUGGUGAGAAGUUAUAGGAUAUGAUGAGUCGAAGAGAUCCAUCAAGUUAUAUUUUAUUUCGGUACUAAUGUUGUCUCGUUUAUUGUGGUCAUAGGAUGGAUGACGAAAGUCAAAAUAGUAAUUCCUUGACCCAAGAGACGAUGGACUCUAGCGAGGAGUACACAGACAAUGAGAUGAUAAGAGAUUUGAUAGUUAGGAACGACGAAUUAAAGGUUAGAGCUGAGCAGGCGGAGGCACAGAAUCGUACUUUCCAGAUUUCGGAACAGCAGUACAAGGACACUGCUCACCGAACACAGAUGGAGUUAGCAGAGUUACGAGGGAGGUUGGAGCAGAGAGAGAUACAGAUAGGACAGUUGGAGGUUGAGAUAGAAGCCAAAGACACCAGGAUAUAUACCUUGGAGCAGGCUUUAGACAUCGCCUUCAUGCGAUUCGAUGCAGAGUGGAUGAAGCUGCCUUUCGGCAGAGAGAUAGGAGUUGAUGAGAAUUGAAUAAAUUCAUCGUCAAACAAAAUAAGAGACAACGUAUAUAAAACUCUUGAUUGCUGUGUCUAUAUACUAUAUGCUAAUCAGGGUAACUUAUGUAUGUAGAUGUCUGGUGGAAAAGAUAUGUGGAAUAAGAAGGAUCAGAUCCAUACCCCCGAGCUAAUAUCGAGGCCAACAGCUGAAAUAGAGGCUCACAGGGAACCCAAGUCGGACGAGGUGGCUAUUGUAGAAAAUGUAGCAUCAGAUCCAGAAAUGGUGGAUUUGACAGAUAGUGAUUCAAACACUAAAGUUGAAGCUGCUCAAGCAUCAACAGAGGUGCAGGAUCUGGAGAACAAGGUUUCUACGCUGGAAAGGCUGUGGGAGAUAGAGACGUUGCUUAAUAUUCAGCUGCGUGAAGCGUUGCUAGAAAUAAUGGAAAAGCAGAAUAAGCUCAAAAUCCGAAUUGACCAGAUAGGAGCCUCAAGCAACACAUCGUGUGCAGCUCCGAGAGGUAAGGGAAAAAAAAGAUAGAAGAUCCUGACUUAGGAAAACCUGAUAAGAAGAAAGGGUAGAAGAAUUUACUAAUGCUGGGAACGACAGCCAGAACUGAUGCAAAACUUUGCAGACAUGAUGGCUCAGGCUAUGCAGCAGGGAAUACCAGCUGCAGGGAACCAGCCAGGAAAUCACUUGGCAAGUUUCAAAGACUUCAAAGCCGUAGGACCACCAGAAUUCAGAGGAUCAGCUGACCCUACAGAAGCCUAGACAUGGGUGAACGAAAUAGAAAUGGCGUUCAUAAUUGCUAGAGUAGAUGAGGGACAAAAGACCGUUUUUGCCACUUAUAUGUUGAAAGGGGAAGCUAACUUCUGGUGGGAGGCAAAUAAGACUCGGGGGAGAAGGAGAAAUUACUUGGGAUAGGUUUAAGGAUUUAUUUUUCGAAAACUAUCUCUCUGUUAGUAUGCAGUCUAGAAUGGAGGUAAAAUUCCUAGAGUUCAAACAGGAGAACAUGACUGUUGCGGAGUAUGCCGCAAAGUUUAAUGAGUUGGCUAGGUUUGCUCCACAUCAAGUGAGCACAGAAGCUAGAAAGGCAAGAAGAUUUGAGCUGGGCUUAAAACCCUGGCUCUAUAAUAAGGUGUCAGUACUGCAAAUCAAUACUUUUGCAGCACUCAUGGAAAAGGCUAUCAUAGCGGAACAGGGGAGUGAGGCCAUGAGCCUCUACCACAAGGAGAAGAAGAACAAAAGCAAGUCAGGAGGAGCAACGAAGAUGGAAAGUAGUAGCGAGAAUAGGGGUUAGAAGAGAAUGAGGAAUUUUUCAGGGAAUGUUCAAGUGAAACAGGAAGGUACAAAGAAGCAGGUAGUGCAGUGCAAGAACUGCGGAAAGAAUCACUCUGGCGAGUGUCUAAAGGGUAAGUUUGUGUGCUAUAAGUACGGGCAAGAGGGUCAUAUCUCUCCCAACUGCCCCAACUCAAGGAAGAUCAGUGGAUGCUUCAUAUGCGGAUCGACUGAACAUCAGGUGAGGAACUAUCCAAAGAGGGGAAUGGAGGCAGGAAACGUAACCACAGGGAGAAGUAGUGGGACUUUAGCAAUUUCAGGCCCAAACUUAACCAGUACCCCAACGAAAGCAACUCCGAAGGUCUACAACAUGACGGUCCAGGAUACAGUGGCAGCUGGAAACAGAACUCCAGGUGCUAUGUGAAUCACUUAUAUAUCUUAUAUGUUUUCCUACAUAUAUAUAUAUAUAUAUAGUAGAUGAUUUUAUAAAGAAAUUUUGAGUUCUUUUAGAAAUCAAAUUUCUGCCUAAUCAGAGCGUUAUGAAGAAUAGUUAAAGAUCAGUUUGAUCAAGUAUGAUUGAGAUCUACGUACAAUGAUUAUAUGCUAUGUACCCUUCUGCAUAUGAGUUUUUAAAGCGGUGAUUCCGGGGACGGAAUCCUUAUAAGGGAGGGUGAAUGUAAUAACCCGAGAUUUUCUAUAUAAAAUAAAUAAGAAAUUUUGCUUAUAAAUUUUUUUAUUUAUUUAUUUAAUGACGAGAAUAAGUGUCUAGUAAUGUGAACGAUAAAUGCAAAUAUAUUUAUUACUUGAAAAAAUUAGAAAUAAUUUUGGAAUAAUUAAUUACCACAAAACUAUAUUCUUAUGAUAAUUAAUUUCUGUAAGCCGAAAUGUUUUUAUUAAUUAUUUUUCAUGAAAACAUGAUUGGAAAUAAUAUAUGAAGUGAUAAUUAGAAUUAUAUAAUAAAUAUUUUAUUAUAUGAUUUGCUCAAAAUAUUUAAGUUAAUUAUUUUAACUUGAUUAUUGAUGUUGUGUAAGAAAGAGAAUUCAGAUAUGAAAUUCAAACCCAGGAUUGGGAUUGUGAUCAAGAGAUGAGAAUAAUAAUAUUAUAUUAUUGUUAUAAUAAUUUUACAGUACCAUAAAUGUGUACUGUGUAUGUGCGGACAGAUAAUAUUGAGCAAUGACGGUUAAUUAGGUCAUAACACAGUACUGUGCUGUGAAAUCCUAAUUGUUAAACUCAGUUAUGAGAAAUGACUGAGUAGUGACUGUGUAUAUGAAGUUAUUGUGUAUAAGAUGUCGAUAAUUAGGACAAACCCUAAUUAUUACAACCCUAACCGGUUGAAGUUAGAGAUCGUAAUGACUAUGUUAGUAACAUACACAUAUAAUUAGAGAACCCUAAUGGUCAAUUAGAAACCCUAAUUGAUGGCGUUAAGAAACCCUAAUUAUAGAACCCUAAAUUUUAAAUCGAAAACCCUAAUUUUAAAUUANNNNNNNNNNNNNNNNNNNNNNNNNNNNNNNNNNNNNNNNNNNNNNNNNNNNNNNNNNNNNNNNNNNNNNNNNNNNNNNNNNNNNNNNNNNNNNNNNNNNCUAUACCAUUACACCUCAAUUAUACCAACCCUAUUGAGCAUCCAAGGCACUUGACAUGGUCUAUAUAUAGAGAUUGAGGGAGAAAUAAUGCAAAUGCACACUAACAUUUUCUAAAAUCCCUAGACACACUCUCUCAAGCUCCAGCCAACGAAUUUGCCUUGCCCAUAAGCUCAUAAUCAAAGCCCAAC